CCCUUAGAUGUUCUGUGCCGCACGCGCGCUACACUGAGCCCUUCAUCGAGUUUACAACCUUGGCCGGUAGGUCUGGGUAAUCUUCUCAAAGGGGCUCGUGCUGGGGAUAGAUUAUUGUAAUUUUUAAUCUUCAACGAGGAAUUCCUAGUAAACGCAAGUCAACAGCUUGCAUUGAUUACGUCCCUGCCCUUUGUACACACCGCCCGUCGCUACUACCGAUUGAAUGGCUUAGUGAGCCCGAGGGACUGUUGCACCUAGAGGGUUUUCUCUCCAGGAGCAGCCGGGAACUCGGUCAAACUUGAUCAUUUAGAGGAAGUAAAAGUCGUAACA
This 330-nucleotide ribosomal RNA is filed under the name uncultured eukaryote. Its description in RNAcentral is "partial 18S ribosomal RNA". It matches the Rfam family "Eukaryotic small subunit ribosomal RNA", at positions 1470 to 1796 of the family's 1831-position model. The record is from RNAcentral.